CGCGGCCUAUCAGCUUGUUGGUGAGGUGAUGGCUCACCAAGGCUAUGACGGGUAGCGGGUCUGAGAGGAUGGCCCGCCACAUUGGGACUGAGACACGGCCCAGACUCCUACGGGAGGCAGCAGUGGGGAAUAUUGCGCAAUGGCCGAAAGGCUGACGCAGCGACGCCGCGUGCGGGAGGAAGCCCCUCGGGGUGUAAACCGCUGUCAGAGGGGACGAACCGCCAUGGUGGGAAUACUGCCAUGGUCUGACGGUACCCUCAGAGGAAGCACCGGCUAACUCCGUGCCAGCAGCCGCGGUAAUACGGAGGGUGCGAGCGUUGUUCGGAAUUACUGGGCGUAAAGGGCGCGUAGGCGGAGGUGCAAGUCGGUGGUGAAAGCCCAGGGCUCAACCCUGGGAUUGCUUCCGAUACUGCAACUCUAGGGACCGGUAGAGGUCGGUGGAAUUCCCGGUGUAGCGGUGGAAUGCGUAGAUAUCGGGAGGAACACCGGUGGCGAAGGCGGGUCUCUGGGCCUUACCUGACGCUGAGGAGCGAAAGCGUGGGGAGCGAACAGGAUUAGAUACCCUGGUAGUCCACGCCGUAAACGGUGGGCGCUAGGUGUGGGAUGCUGUUCACGUGUCCCGUGCCGUAGCUAACGCAUUAAGCGCCCCGCCUGGGGAGUACGG
RNAcentral lists this ribosomal RNA (664 nucleotides) under uncultured bacterium. Its description in RNAcentral is "bacterial SSU rRNA". It matches the Rfam family "Bacterial small subunit ribosomal RNA", at positions 232 to 885 of the family's 1533-position model. The record is from RNAcentral.